GAUGAACGCUGGCGGCGUGCCUAAUACAUGCAAGUCGAGCGAACAGACGAGGAGCUUGCUCCUCUGACGUUAGCGGCGGACGGGUGAGUAACACGUGGAUAACCUACCUAUAAGACUGGGAUAACUUCGGGAAACCGGAGCUAAUACCGGAUAAUAUAUUGAACCGCAUGGUUCAAUAGUGAAAGACGGUUUUGCUGUAACUUAUAGAUGGAUCCGCGCCGCAUUAGCUAGUUGGUAAGGUAACGGCUUACCAAGGCAACAAGGGGUAGCCGACCUGGGAGGGUGAUCGGCCACACUGGAACUGAGACACGGUCCAGACUCCUACGGUAGGCAGCAGUAGGGAAUCUUCCGCAAUGGGCGAAAGCCUGACGGAGCAACGCCGCGUGAGUGAUGAAGGUCUUCGGAUCGUAAAACUCUGUUAUUAGGGAAGAACAAAUGUGUAAGUAACUAUGCACGUCUUGACGGUACCUAAUCAGAAAGCCACGGCUAACUACGUG
Molecule: ribosomal RNA, 497 nt
Filed under: uncultured bacterium
Lineage: Bacteria
Description: partial 16S ribosomal RNA
Rfam family: Bacterial small subunit ribosomal RNA
Source: RNAcentral